CUCUGCUUCUGCUUCUAGAUCCUAAUUUCAGUACGGUUAACUGAUUUUUUUUCUUGUCCUCUUGGUUUGUGCAACGAUUGGAGAAUGGAUGCAGAGUUAUGGAUGUUGCUUGUGUCCUUCCUCUAAGAAUGGAUGCACAGGAAUGGUUUGUGCAACAUUGGAGAAUGGAUGCAGAGGAAUGAUCAGAGGUUUGUUCAGGUCCGUUGACUGUAUAACAGUACUGAGCAUUUCAGAGCAUUUUGUUUUCCUCCUACGAGAAUGGAUGCAUAGGAAAGAAUUUUGAAGCAUUUUGUGUUCCGUUGCAAUAAGAUCAAAGUGUACAGUACUUAGCAUUUGGUGUUCUGUUUUGUUGAAUGUGUAUCUACUCUGAACAUACAGUACCGAGCAUUUUGUGUUUUGU
Molecule: long non-coding RNA, 400 nt
Filed under: Hordeum vulgare
Lineage: Eukaryota; Viridiplantae; Streptophyta; Magnoliopsida; Poales; Poaceae
Description: long non-coding RNA (HVUL_LNC003055)
Source: RNAcentral